Temnothorax curvispinosus is the source of this 1918-nucleotide long non-coding RNA. RefSeq lists it as uncharacterized. NCBI's taxonomy places the organism in Eukaryota, Metazoa, Arthropoda, Insecta, Hymenoptera, Formicidae. The transcript has 3 exons. The record is from RefSeq and is a predicted model, not a curated record.
UAACUUGUUGGCAAUUUCUCGUGGCAUUCCAUCUGAGGCUGCUGCUACAUAUAGAUACCAAUCAUACUCCUACGACGUGUCAAAGUGAAUUGAUAGUUGUGUGAAGCACUGGUAUCAAAGACUGGAAUAAGCUUGCAAUUCGCAAAUCAUCCGCGUAAAGUAUCCAACACAAUAUAUAUAUAUAUAUAUUUAAAACACAAUUCUCUGUUGAGACUUUCGCACUGGCUUUGACGAUUCCUCGAAAAUUGGUUCCUUUAUAAGCGAUUAACUCGUUCAUAUAUGUACGUCCGAUCGAAAGAUGACAAAUGAAAAGAGAAAAGAGCAAGUAAUCGGCAUUGUGUAGCAAUAUCGCUUCACUUUGGUAAAAUAGACCCGCAUGGGAAAGUCGCGGUCGUCAUAAAAUCGCUAUAGGGUUUCGAGAGCAUUCUUAAAAAACAAUAUGAAUUUUACGGAAAUAGCGAUAAUAAGGACAUUUCGAUUUGUGACCGUAACAAUGGGCAAAGCACCAUUAGAUCGCUCGUUGGUGCGUUCACAAAUCUAACUAUCCUUUUCACGUCUGUCAAUUGCAUUCAUUAAUAUACCUUUUUGAAAAUUGUAAAUAGUACAUACUCUAACGAAAAAAAAAAACUUGAAAGACAUCAAUUUGACUUUCGAUACUCUCUGCAACGUACACAUCUAUUAACGCAUAAUUUAUGUAUCUAAUAUAGAUAAUUAAUAUCAAUAGUAACAUGGAUUUUAUAUGAUAGAAUAUCGGUGAUCAAAUCGAUGAUGUUUAAGAAGAAUAAUUAAGAGAAAAUAAAAUUUUUAAUUCGGUAGUUUAUUUGUAUGCUAAGUAGUAGUGCCGUAGGUGAUGAUUUGAAAAAUUCACUUCGGCACGAUUACUUUACAUGCUAGUAGGCGCAAUCGACGUGAAGCUGGUAUGAAAAUAAAGUUUAUAAAAUACUGAAAUUUUAUAGAUGUUUUAUAGAAUACUGAAAUUGUGUGCUUAUUCUCGGCACGAGUAUAAAAAUAAAAACUAAACAUUUCGUAAAUUAAAAAUUCUCUUAAUUUUUAAUUUAUUUCUUUUCCUUCAAUUCCCGAGUUAAUUAACUUCUAAAAUUUUUCAUGCUUUCUUAUAUUUCAGUUUUGACAAUCAAUUGGAUUAUGGGAUAUAAUCUACGACGAGAACGCGUAAUCUCGUCGCGGAAUUUGAAUGAGGGCCUUACUGGACCGGUGAAUAGUUUGAUAACAGCUCCCAUCUAGAUAGAUAAAGGGGAAAGGAGAGACAAGAUCAUUCGCCGUCGGUUGGCGGACUAUUCAGUGCCGCGACCGACACUGAUUUCAAUUGGUAAAUUGACUCAGAACGAGUGGGAGAGAAAAAAAUGGCGGCACGGAGUAACCGACGAUGAAGCCACGGAAGUAGGGGAAAAAACAGUGGCGUAACUAACAUUAAAAAGAACGUUUAACCCUAGCUAGCCAUACUUAUUUUCGAGUCCUUAAUUCGCCACACUCCGGUCCGUGAGACCGCUCGACUUUGUCGCAUCGUCAUUUUCAUUCUAAGUAAUUAAUAUCUUUAAGCUUGUACUGUAGAAAUUGGAAAUACAGACUCUAAAUAAAAUGUUUAUGAUAAUAUCAAGUCAAGAAAAUGAUUUGAUUUUGAACUGAACUUAUUAUAAGGAAACUAGAAAAUUAUGUUAUUUUGUGAAAACUAGAAAAUCGAAAAACGUUCAGCGGUCCACUGGACCGGAGUGUGGCGAGUUAGGAUCGUUAGGAUUAAGAAUCUAAAGAGAAAUUAAAAUACAUCAAAUUUUAACAUGAUUUUUUUCACAAAGAUAAAUUAAAGUACAAAAAAAAAUAAACAAUAUUUUAUAUAAAUUUAAGAUAUAACAUUGUGAAUCAAAUUAACGUUUAUGAAAAUUAAAAUAACUUUAUUCUUUUA